UAUCUGCAGUCGGACGGGAUAGGAGAGCUUGCUUUCCUUGAGAGUGGCGCACGGGUGCGUAACACGUAUGUAACCUACCCAUAUCAGGGGGAUAGCCUCUCGAAAGAGAGAUUAAGACCGCAUAACAUAACGAAAUGGCAUCAUUUUGUUAUCAAAUAUUUAUAGGAUAUGGAUGGGCAUGCGGAACAUUAGCUAGUUGGUGUGGUAACGGCAUACCAAGGCUACGAUGUUUAGGGGAUCUGAGAGGAUGGCCCCCCACGCUGGUACUGAGACACGGACCAGACUCCUACGGGAGGCAGCAGUAAGGAAUAUUGGUCAAUGGACGGAAGUCUGAACCAGCCAUGCCGCGUGCAGGAAGACGGCCCUAUGGGUUGUAAACUGCUUUUGCAGGGGAAUAAACCUUCGUAUGUAUACGAAGCUGAAUGUACUCUGAGAAUAAGGAUCGGCUAACUCCGUGCCAGCAGCCGCGGUAAUACGGAGGAUCCAAGCGUUAUCCGGAUUUAUUGGGUUUAAAGGGUGCGUAGGUGGUCUAUUAAGUCAGGGGUGAAAGACGGCAGCUUAACUGUCGCAGUGCCUUUGAUACUGAUGGACUUGAAUGAACUAGAGGUAGGCGGAAUGUGACAAGUAGCGGUGAAAUGCAUAGAUAUGUCACAGAACACCAAUUGCGAAGGCAGCUUACUAUGGUUUGAUUGACACUGAGGCACGAAAGCGUGGGGAUCAAACAGGAUUAGAUACCCUGGUAGUCCACGCCCUAAACGAUGAAUACUCGAUGUUGGCGAUAUACGGUCAGCGUCUAAGCGAAAGCGUUAAGUAUUCCACCUGGGGAGUACGCCCGCAAGGGUGAAACUCAAAGGAAUUGACGGGGGCCCGCACAAGCGGAGGAGCAUGUGGUUUAAUUCGAUGAUACGCGAGGAACCUUACCCCGGCUUGAAAGUUAGUGAAUGGAGCAG
This 950-nucleotide ribosomal RNA is filed under the name uncultured bacterium. RNAcentral's name for it is "bacterial SSU rRNA". It matches the Rfam family "Bacterial small subunit ribosomal RNA", at positions 52 to 1003 of the family's 1533-position model. The record is from RNAcentral.